UACGGAGGUGGCAAGCGUUGCUCGGAAUCACUGGGCGUAAAGGGCGCGUAGGCGGCCUUCUAAGUCGAACGUGAAAUCCCCGGGCUCAACCCGGGAACUGCGUCCGAUACUGGAAGGCUUGAAUCCGGGAGAGGGAUGCGGAAUUCCUGGUGUAGCGGUGAAAUGCGCAGAUAUCAGGAAGAACACCCGUGGCGAAGGCGGCUCUCUGGGACGGUACUGACGCUGAGACGCGAAAGCGUGGGGAGCAAACAGG
Molecule: ribosomal RNA, 253 nt
Filed under: uncultured bacterium
Lineage: Bacteria
Description: partial 16S ribosomal RNA
Rfam family: Bacterial small subunit ribosomal RNA
Source: RNAcentral